RNAcentral lists this transfer RNA (85 nucleotides) under Felis catus (domestic cat). It matches the Rfam family "tRNA". From Rfam's summary of the family: Transfer RNA (tRNA) molecules are approximately 80 nucleotides in length. Lineage: Eukaryota; Metazoa; Chordata; Mammalia; Carnivora; Felidae. The record is from Rfam by way of RNAcentral.
GCCUGGGUGGCUCAGUCGGUUGAGCGUCCGACUUCCACUCGGGUCACGAUCUCACGGUGCGUGAGUUCGAGCCCCGCGUCAGGCU